GGGUUGUGAGGUUAAGCGACUAAGCGUACACGGUGGAUGCCCUGGCAGUCAGAGGCGAUGAAGGACGUGCUAAUCUGCGAUAAGCGUCGGUGAGGUGAUAUGAACCGUUAUAACCGGCGAUUUCCGAAUGGGGAAACCCAGUGUGUUUCGACACACUAUCAUUAACUGAAUCCAUAGGUUAAUGAGGCGAACCGGGGGAACUGAAACAUCUAAGUACCCCGAGGAAAAGAAAUCAACCGAGAUUCCCCCAGUAGCGGCGAGCGAACGGGGAGGAGCCCAGAGCCUGAAUCAGUGUGUGUGUUAGUGGAAGCGUCUGGAAAGGCGUGCGAUACAGGGUGACAGCCCCGUACACAAAAAUGCACAUAUUGUGAGCUCGAUGAGUAGGGCGGGACACGUGGUAUCCUGUCUGAAUAUGGGGGGACCAUCCUCCAAGGCUAAAUACUCCUGACUGACCGAUAGUGAACCAGUACCGUGAGGGAAAGGCGAAAAGAACCCCGGCGAGGGGAGUGAAAAAGAACCUGAAACCGUGUACGUACAAGCAGUGGGAGCCUCUUAAUGGGGUGACUGCGUACCUUUUGUAUAAUGGGUCAGCGACUUAUAUUCUGUAGCAAGGUUAACCGAAUAGGGGAGCCGAAGGGAAACCGAGUCUUAACUGGGCGUUAAGUUGCAGGGUAUAGACCCGAAACCCGGUGAUCUAGCCAUGGGCAGGUUGAAGGUUGGGUAACACUAACUGGAGGACCGAACCGACUAAUGUUGAAAAAUUAGCGGAUGACUUGUGGCUGGGGGUGAAAGGCCAAUCAAACCGGGAGAUAGCUGGUUCUCCCCGAAAGCUAUUUAGGUAGCGCCUCGUGAAUUCAUCUCCGGGGGUAGAGCACUGUUUCGGCAAGGGGGUCAUCCCGACUUACCAACCCGAUGCAAACUGCGAAUACCGGAGAAUGUUAUCACGGGAGACACACGGCGGGUGCUAACGUCCGUCGUGAAGAGGGAAACAACCCAGACCGCCAGCUAAGGUCCCAAAGUCAUGGUUAAGUGGGAAACGAUGUGGGAAGGCCCAGACAGCCAGGAUGUUGGCUUAGAAGCAGCCAUCAUUUAAAGAAAGCGUAAUAGCUCACUGGUCGAGUCGGCCUGCGCGGAAGAUGUAACGGGGCUAAACCAUGCACCGAAGCUGCGGCAGCGACACUAUGUGUUGUUGGGUAGGGGAGCGUUCUGUAAGCCUGUGAAGGUGGCCUGUGAGGGUUGCUGGAGGUAUCAGAAGUGCGAAUGCUGACAUAAGUAACGAUAAAGCGGGUGAAAAGCCCGCUCGCCGGAAGACCAAGGGUUCCUGUCCAACGUUAAUCGGGGCAGGGUGAGUCGACCCCUAAGGCGAGGCCGAAAGGCGUAGUCGAUGGGAAACAGGUUAAUAUUCCUGUACUUGGUGUUACUGCGAAGGGGGGACGGAGAAGGCUAUGUUGGCCGGGCGACGGUUGUCCCGGUUUAAGCGUGUAGGCUGGUUUUCCAGGCAAAUCCGGAAAACCAAGGCUGAGGCGUGAUGACGAGGCACUACGGUGCUGAAGCGACAAAUGCCCUGCUUCCAGGAAAAGCCUCUAAGCAUCAGGUAACAUCAAAUCGUACCCCAAACCGACACAGGUGGUCAGGUAGAGAAUACCAAGGCGCUUGAGAGAACUCGGGUGAAGGAACUAGGCAAAAUGGUGCCGUAACUUCGGGAGAAGGCACGCUGAUAUGUAGGUGAAGCGACUUGCUCGUGGAGCUGAAAUCAGUCGAAGAUACCAGCUGGCUGCAACUGUUUAUUAAAAACACAGCACUGUGCAAACACGAAAGUGGACGUAUACGGUGUGACGCCUGCCCGGUGCCGGAAGGUUAAUUGAUGGGGUUAGCGGCAACGCGAAGCUCUUGAUCGAAGCCCCGGUAAACGGCGGCCGUAACUAUAACGGUCCUAAGGUAGCGAAAUUCCUUGUCGGGUAAGUUCCGACCUGCACGAAUGGCGUAAUGAUGGCCAGGCUGUCUCCACCCGAGACUCAGUGAAAUUGAACUCGCUGUGAAGAUGCAGUGUACCCGCGGCAAGACGGAAAGACCCCGUGAACCUUUACUAUAGCUUGACACUGAACAUUGAGCCUUGAUGUGUAGGAUAGGUGGGAGGCUUUGAAGUGUGGACGCCAGUCUGCAUGGAGCCGACCUUGAAAUACCACCCUUUAAUGUUUGAUGUUCUAACGUUGGCCCGUAAUCCGGGUUGCGGACAGUGUCUGGUGGGUAGUUUGACUGGGGCGGUCUCCUCCUAAAGAGUAACGGAGGAGCACGAAGGUUGGCUAAUCCUGGUCGGACAUCAGGAGGUUAGUGCAAUGGCAUAAGCCAGCUUGACUGCGAGCGUGACGGCGCGAGCAGGUGCGAAAGCAGGUCAUAGUGAUCCGGUGGUUCUGAAUGGAAGGGCCAUCGCUCAACGGAUAAAAGGUACUCCGGGGAUAACAGGCUGAUACCGCCCAAGAGUUCAUAUCGACGGCGGUGUUUGGCACCUCGAUGUCGGCUCAUCACAUCCUGGGGCUGAAGUAGGUCCCAAGGGUAUGGCUGUUCGCCAUUUAAAGUGGUACGCGAGCUGGGUUUAGAACGUCGUGAGACAGUUCGGUCCCUAUCUGCCGUGGGCGCUGGAGAACUGAGGGGGGCUGCUCCUAGUACGAGAGGACCGGAGUGGACGCAUCACUGGUGUUCGGGUUGUCAUGCCAAUGGCACUGCCCGGUAGCUAAAUGCGGAAGAGAUAAGUGCUGAAAGCAUCUAAGCACGAAACUUGCCCCGAGAUG
This 2789-nucleotide ribosomal RNA is filed under the name Escherichia coli. RNAcentral's name for it is "partial 23S ribosomal RNA". It matches the Rfam family "Bacterial large subunit ribosomal RNA". RNAcentral also lists the same sequence under 1 other name. Lineage: Bacteria; Pseudomonadati; Pseudomonadota; Gammaproteobacteria; Enterobacterales; Enterobacteriaceae. The record is from RNAcentral.